CCUUACCUGGCCUUGACAUACUAAGAACUUUCCAGAGAUGGAUUGGUGCCUUCGGGAACUUAGAUACAGGUGCUGCAUGGCUGUCGUCAGCUCGUGUCGUGAGAUGUUGGGUUAAGUCCCGCAACGAGCGCAACCCUUUUCCUUAUUUGCCAGCGGGUAAUGCCGGGAACUUUAAGGAUACUGCCAGUGACAAACUGGAGGAAGGCGGGGACGACGUCAAGUCAUCAUGGCCCUUACGGCCAGGGCUACACACGUGCUACAAUGGUCGGUACAAAGGGUUGCUACCUCGCGAGAGGAUGCUAAUCUCAAAAAGCCGGUCGUAGUCCGGAUCGCAGUCUGCAACUCGACUGCGUGAAGUCGGAAUCGCUAGUAAUCGCGGAUCAGAAUGCCGCGGUGAAUACGUUCCCGGGCCUUGUACACACCGCCCGUCACACCAUGGGAGUUUGUUGCACCAGAAGUAGGUAGUCUAACCGCAAGGAGGACGCUUACCACGGUGUGGCCGAUGACUGGGGUGAAGUCGUAACAAGGUAAGCGUAGAUGA
This 541-nucleotide ribosomal RNA is filed under the name uncultured bacterium. RNAcentral's name for it is "bacterial SSU rRNA". It matches the Rfam family "Bacterial small subunit ribosomal RNA", at positions 969 to 1509 of the family's 1533-position model. The record is from RNAcentral.